RNAcentral lists this ribosomal RNA (253 nucleotides) under uncultured bacterium. Its description in RNAcentral is "partial 16S ribosomal RNA". It matches the Rfam family "Bacterial small subunit ribosomal RNA", at positions 524 to 776 of the family's 1533-position model. The record is from RNAcentral.
UACGGAGGAUCCAAGCGUUAUCCGGAUUUAUUGGGUUUAAAGGGUGCGUAGGCGGAUUGAUAAGUUAGAGGUGAAAUGUCCGAGCUCAACUCGGGAACUGCCUCUAAUACUGUUGAUCUAGAGAGUAGAUGCGGUAGGCGGAAUGUAAGGUGUAGCGGUGAAAUGCUUAGAGAUCAUACAGAACACCGAUUGCGAAGGCAGCUUACCAAUCUAUAUCUGACGUUGAGGCACGAAAGCGUGGGGAGCAAACAGG